Molecule: non-coding RNA, 30 nt
Filed under: Homo sapiens (human)
Lineage: Eukaryota; Metazoa; Chordata; Mammalia; Primates; Hominidae
Source: RNAcentral
UAAAAGUACCUUUGAAAUAAUUUACCAAUG